This 350-nucleotide unclassified non-coding RNA is filed under the name soil metagenome. RNAcentral's name for it is "partial contains 5.8S ribosomal RNA, internal transcribed spacer 2, and large subunit ribosomal RNA". The stretch from base 2 to 120 matches the Rfam family "5.8S ribosomal RNA", at positions 36 to 154 of the family's 154-position model. The record is from RNAcentral.
UAUGAAGAACGCAGCGAAAUGCGAUAAGUAAUGUGAAUUGCAGAAUUCAGUGAAUCAUCGAAUCUUUGAACGCACAUUGCGCCCGCCAGUAUUCUGGCGGGCAUGCCUGUUCAAGCGUCAUUUCAACCCUCAAGCCCAGCUUGGUGUUGGGGAUCGGCACAGGCGCCCUCGGGCGCCCGCCGUCCCCUAAAUCUAGUGGCGGUCCCGCUGCAGCCUCCUCUGCGUAGUAGUUUUCUCCUCGCAAGGGCAGCUCGGUGGCGACCUCGCCGUAAAACCCCCAACUUCUGAAAGGUUGACCUCGAAUCAGGUAGGAAUACCCGCUGAACUUAAGCAUAUCAAUAAGCGGAGGA